This 487-nucleotide ribosomal RNA is filed under the name uncultured bacterium. RNAcentral describes it as "SSU rRNA". It matches the Rfam family "Bacterial small subunit ribosomal RNA", at positions 26 to 521 of the family's 1533-position model. The record is from RNAcentral.
AGAAUGAACGCUGGCGGCAUGCCUAACACAUGCAAGUCGAACGAGACCUUCGGGUCUAGUGGCGCACGGGUGCGUAACGCGUGGGAAUCUGCCCUUAGGUACGGAAUAACUCAGGGAAACUUACGCUAAUACCGCAUACGAUCUUUGGGUGAAAGUGGGGGACUCGCAAGAGCCUCACGCGAUUGGAUGAGCCGAUGUCCGAUUAGCUAGUUGGCGGGGUAAUGGCCCACCAAGGCGACGAUCGGUAGCUGGUCUGAGAGGACGACCAGCCACACUGGAACUGAGACACGGUCCAGACUCCUACGGGAGGCAGCAGUGGGGGAAUAUUGGACAAUGGGGGCAACCCUGAUCCAGCCAUGCCGCGUGGGUGAAGAAGGCCUUCGGGUUGUAAAGCCCUUUGUACGGAGAAAGCUCUGGGUGAAUAUCCUGGAGUCAUGACGGUACCGUAAGAAUAAGCACCGGCUAACUUCGCGCCAGCAGCCGCGGU